AAAAAACAAAUAAGCUGUCGAAGUGCAUUGUUUAACGAUGAAGAAAUACCAAGAAAAAUGCAUGUAUUAUGUAGUUCCAGCGAGAAACGACGAAGUAAAAGUAAAAUAAGUAAUAAUAUUUGCCGGCUUUCAAUCUAAUUUAAUAAUUCAGAAAUAAUUGAGACAUUUAACUAUAUCAAUACUAGAAAUUUUAAGGUUAUAAAUAGACAGAGAGAAUUCCUGUCAGCUCUCUGAAAGCAGUAUAAAAGGAAAAUACGUUCAAAUGUAAAAUGUUUAGACGGUUUACUAAACACAUUCACAAGUGUACAAGUAUUGAUAUGAGAUGAAUGAAUACACAGGAAAAAACAAUAA
This is a long non-coding RNA of Ctenocephalides felis (cat flea), 351 nucleotides long. RefSeq lists it as uncharacterized. The transcript is spliced from 3 exons. The record is from RefSeq and is a predicted model, not a curated record. Lineage: Eukaryota; Metazoa; Arthropoda; Insecta; Siphonaptera; Pulicidae.